UGAGGAAUAUUGGUCAAUGGACGAGAGUCUGAACCAGCCAAGUAGCGUGAAGGACGACUGCCCUAUGGGUUGUAAACUUCUUUUAUAAGGGAAUAAAGUGAGGGACGUGUCCCUUUUUGUAUGUACCUUAUGAAUAAGGAUCGGCUAAAUCCGUGCAAGCAGCCGCGGUAAUAAGGAGGAUCCAAGCGUUAUCCGGAUUUAUUGGGUUUAAAGGGAGCGUAGGUUGACAUAUAAGUCAGCUGUGAAAGUUUACGGCUCAACCGUGAAAUUGCAGUUGAUACUGUAUGUCUUGAGUGUACAAGAGGUGGGCGGAAUUCGUGGUGUAGCGGUGAAAUGCUUAGAUAUCACGAAGAACUCCAAUUGCGAAGGCAGCUCACUGGGGUACAACUGACACUGAGGCUCGAAAGUGUGGGUAUCAAACA
Molecule: ribosomal RNA, 422 nt
Filed under: uncultured prokaryote
Description: bacterial SSU rRNA
Rfam family: Bacterial small subunit ribosomal RNA
Source: RNAcentral